This is a long non-coding RNA of Pezoporus occidentalis (night parrot), 818 nucleotides long. RefSeq lists it as uncharacterized. NCBI's taxonomy places the organism in Eukaryota, Metazoa, Chordata, Aves, Psittaciformes, Psittacidae. The transcript is spliced from 3 exons. The record is from RefSeq and is a predicted model, not a curated record.
UGGCUGGCUCUGUCUCCGUUCCUCAGGUGGUCCCAUUUGGAAUCCCUCUUCCAGGGAAGGCUAACCAUGAAGGAGACACAAAUGCUCUUGUAGAAAUGAAAUCAGGUCUGAGUAAGAGCCCUGAAUCCAGAUGGCACCACGUCUUGAAUGCAGACAUCUGCUGCCAGUGACUACACCCGCUUGCAUUGGAUGGGAGUCACCAAUAGCUCCACAGGUGCAGCCCCAAACCAACAUCUGCAUAAAGACACUGGACUUGCUGCUUUGUGUGAGUGCAGUGGCUAAGCAAACUGGCACUAGUCUAUAGAAACAUCUGGAGGUAUUGAUGCUGCAUCUGCUGAGGGAGCUGUACCAUAGUUUAAAAUGAAUUGUCAGCAGGAUCCAUGGAUUUGUGAUGGACAGGCACUAUGGCCUAACUAGCACCUGAAGCCCACGGCACAGACUUGAAGGAUCUCUUCUAUCUGCAGGGCUGAAUAAGCACAGCACUUUGUAAGAUCAAGUCCUCUUCUUAUUAGUGUUGUUGACAGUUUGCAGAUACCAUGUGAAAUGCAUUCUUUCUCUGCUUAAAAGGGCAAAGUAAUUUGUCAGGCCUGUGGCACAGGAAAUCUUCACCGUAAACACUGUGUGACUUGUGCAAGCAAGCUGCUUGAAACACAGAUGCUGAGGCUUCUUCCAUCAGUCACAGUAGGGUUAAUCAAAUCAAAGCACAACAUUCUUUUUCUCUGGAAAACUGAAGUCAUAGCCCUGUGUCCCUGUUAUAAAAGCAGAGAUGCCCUCCCUCAUGGGCUAUUCAAGGCCCAUACUCCCACAGAUCAUCCAUC